This 495-nucleotide ribosomal RNA is filed under the name uncultured bacterium. Its description in RNAcentral is "partial 16S ribosomal RNA". It matches the Rfam family "Bacterial small subunit ribosomal RNA", at positions 28 to 507 of the family's 1533-position model. The record is from RNAcentral.
GACGAACGCUGGCGGCGUGCCUAAUACAUGCAAGUAGAACGCUGAAGGAGGAGCUUGCUCUUCUGGAUGAGUUGCGAACGGGUGAGUAACGCGUAGGUAACCUGCCUGGUAGCGGGGGAUAACUAUUGGAAACGAUAGCUAAUACCGCAUAACAGUAGAUGUUGCAUGACAUUUACUUAAAAGGUGCAAUUGCAUCACUACCAGAUGGACCUGCGUUGUAUUAGCUAGUUGGUGGGGUAACGGCUCACCAAGGCGACGAUACAUAGCCGACCUGAGAGGGUGAUCGGCCACACUGGGACUGAGACACGGCCCAGACUCCUACGGGAGGCAGCAGUAGGGAAUCUUCGGCAAUGGACGGAAGUCUGACCGAGCAACGCCGCGUGAGUGAAGAAGGUUUUCGGAUCGUAAAGCUCUGUUGUAAGAGAAGAACGAGUGUGAGAGUGGAAAGUUCACACUGCGACGGUAUCUUACCAGAAAGGGACGGCUAACUACGUG